RNAcentral lists this ribosomal RNA (403 nucleotides) under uncultured bacterium. RNAcentral describes it as "bacterial SSU rRNA". It matches the Rfam family "Bacterial small subunit ribosomal RNA", at positions 975 to 1374 of the family's 1533-position model. The record is from RNAcentral.
CUGGCCUUGACAUGGUAGGAACCCUUAAGAGAUUAGGGGGUGCUAGCUUGCUAGAACCUACACACAGGUGCUGCACGGCUGUCGUCAGCUCGUGUCGUGAGAUGUUGGGUUAAGUCCCGCAACGAGCGCAACCCUCGUCUUUAGUUGCUAACAGUUAGGCUGAGCACUCUAAAGAGACUGCCUCCGUAAGGAGGAGGAAGGUGAGGACGACGUCAAGUCAUCAUGGCCCUUACGGCCAGGGCUACACACGUGCUACAAUGGGGCGUACAGAGAGCUGCAAUACCGCGAGGUGGAGCCAAUCUCUUAAAGCGUCUCUCAGUUCGGAUUGUUCUCUGCAACUCGAGAACAUGAAGCUGGAAUCACUAGUAAUCGUAGAUCAGCUAUGCUACGGUGAAUACGUUCC